GGUGCUAUAGUCUAGUGGUUAGGACAUCAGGCUUUGAUGAAACGAAUCCUGAGAGCCUCGGUUCGAACCCGGGUAGCACCU
This is a non-coding RNA of Aspergillus steynii IBT 23096, 81 nucleotides long. NCBI's taxonomy places the organism in Eukaryota, Fungi, Ascomycota, Eurotiomycetes, Eurotiales, Aspergillaceae. The record is from the annotation of a RefSeq genome assembly.